This 521-nucleotide unclassified non-coding RNA is filed under the name uncultured Glomeromycotina. RNAcentral's name for it is "SSU rRNA". It matches the Rfam family "Eukaryotic small subunit ribosomal RNA", at positions 569 to 1092 of the family's 1831-position model. The record is from RNAcentral. Lineage: Eukaryota; Fungi; Glomeromycota.
AGCAGCCGCGGUAAUUCCAGCUCCAAUAGCGUAUAUUAAAGUUGCUGCAGUUAAAAAGCUCGUAGUUGAAUUUCGGGACCAUCAUGUCGGUCGUGCCUCGGUACGUACUGGCAUUGUUGGUUUCUCCCUUCUGACGAACCAUGAUGUCAUUUAUUUGGUGUUGUGGGAAAUCAGGACUGUUACUUUGAAAAAAUUAGAGUGUUUAAAGCAGGCUCACGCUUGAAUACAUUAGCAUGGAAUAAUGAAAUAGGACGUUUGAUUCUAUUUUGUUGGUUUCUAGGAUCGACGUAAUGAUUAAUAGGGAUAGUUGGGGGCAUUAGUAUUCAAUUGUCAGAGGUGAAAUUCUUGGAUUUAUUGAAGACUAACUACUGCGAAAGCAUUUGCCAAGGAUGUUUUCAUUAAUCAAGAACGAAAGUUAGGGGAUCGAAGACGAUCAGAUACCGUCGUAGUCUUAACCAUAAACUAUGCCGACUAGGGAUCGGAUGAUGUUAAUUUUUUAAUGACUCAUUCGGCGCCUUACG